This 170-nucleotide ribosomal RNA is filed under the name uncultured bacterium. Its description in RNAcentral is "partial 16S ribosomal RNA". It matches the Rfam family "Bacterial small subunit ribosomal RNA", at positions 1323 to 1500 of the family's 1533-position model. The record is from RNAcentral.
AAGCUGGAUUCGCUAGUAAUCGCGCAUCAGCCACGGCGCGGUGAAUACGUUCCCGGGCCUUGUACACACCGCCCGUCAAGCCAUGGGAGCCGGGGGUACCUGAAGUGCGUAACCGCGAGGAGCGCCCUAGGGUAAAACUGGUGACUGGGGCUAAGUCGUAACAAGGUAUC